Molecule: microRNA precursor, 75 nt
Filed under: Eptesicus fuscus (big brown bat)
Lineage: Eukaryota; Metazoa; Chordata; Mammalia; Chiroptera; Vespertilionidae
Description: microRNA efu-mir-9352 precursor
Source: miRBase by way of RNAcentral
AGAUCGCUGCCUGAUUGGCUGGUGGUGAAGGGCGGCACGGGCUCUGCUGCUUUCACAGGUCCGGCGGCGGCUGGC